RNAcentral lists this ribosomal RNA (804 nucleotides) under uncultured Pelagibacteraceae bacterium. RNAcentral describes it as "bacterial SSU rRNA". It matches the Rfam family "Bacterial small subunit ribosomal RNA", at positions 35 to 887 of the family's 1533-position model. The record is from RNAcentral. Lineage: Bacteria; Pseudomonadati; Pseudomonadota; Alphaproteobacteria; Candidatus Pelagibacterales; Candidatus Pelagibacteraceae.
GCUGGCGGCACGCCUAACACAUGCAAGUCGAACGAAGUAGCAAUACUUAGUGGCAGACGGGUGAGUAACAUGUAGGUAUCUACCCUAUGGCCUGGAAUAACACGAGGAAACUUGUGCUAAUACUGGAUAAGUCUUUACGGAGAAAGCUUUAUGCACCAUUGGAUGAGCCUGCACUUGAUUAGUUUGUUGGUGGGGUAAUGGCCUACCAAGACUUUGAUCAAUAGCUGAUUUGAGAGGAUGAUCAGCCACAUUGGGACUGAGACACGGCCCAAACUCCUACGGGAGGCAGCAGUGGGGAAUCUUGCACAAUGGAGGAAACUCUGAUGCAGCGAUGCCGCGUGAGUGAAGAAGGCCCUUGGGUUGUAAAGCUCUUUCGUCGGGGAAGAAAAUGACUGUACCCGAAUAAGAAGGUCCGGCUAACUUCGUGCCAGCAGCCGCGGUAAUACGAAGGGACCUAGCGUAGUUCGGAAUUACUGGGCUUAAAGAGUUCGUAGGUGGUUGAAAAAGUUGGUGGUGAAAUCCCAGAGCUUAACUCUGGAACUGCCAUCAAAACUUUUCAGCUAGAGUAUGAUAGAGGAAAGCAGAAUUUCUAGUGUAGAGGUGAAAUUCGUAGAUAUUAGAAAGAAUACCAAUUGCGAAGGCAGCUUUCUGGAUCAUUACUGACACUGAGGAACGAAAGCAUGGGUAGCGAAGAGGAUUAGAUACCCUCGUAGUCCAUGCCGUAAACGAUGUGUGUUAGACGUUGGAAAUUUAUUUUCAGUGUCGCAGUGAAAGCGAUAAACACACCGCCUGGGGAGUACGACC